CGAACGCUGGCGGCAGGCCUAACACAUGCAAGUCGAGCGAGGACUUCGGUUCUAGCGGCGGACGGGUGAGUAACGCGUGGGAAUGUGCCCUUCUCUACGGAAUAGCCCUGGGAAACUGGGAGUAAUACCGUAUACGCCCUAUUGGGGAAAGAUUUAUCGGAGAAGGAUCAGCCCGCGUUGGAUUAGGUAGUUGGUGGGGUAAUGGCCUACCAAGCCGACGAUCCAUAGCUGGUUUGAGAGGAUGAUCAGCCACACUGGGACUGAGACACGGCCCAGACUCCUACGGGAGGCAGCAGUGGGGAAUCUUAGACAAUGGGGGCAACCCUGAUCUAGCCAUGCCGCGUGAGUGAUGAAGGCCUUAGGGUUGUAAAGCUCUUUCAGCUGGGAAGAUAAUGACGGUACCAGCAGAAGAAGCCCCGGCUAACUCC
RNAcentral lists this ribosomal RNA (428 nucleotides) under uncultured bacterium. RNAcentral's name for it is "bacterial SSU rRNA". It matches the Rfam family "Bacterial small subunit ribosomal RNA", at positions 30 to 504 of the family's 1533-position model. The record is from RNAcentral.